CGAUCCUCACCUCACCCUCAGAGUCCACGGAGCUCCCUCCCACUAUGCCCUCAGGCAGACGAGCCGGGUCGUCGCUUCUGGACUGUCCACCCUCGGCCACUUAAGGGUUGGGGACGGACUUGAAGACGAUCUCCAAUCUUUUUUCUUCGGAACAUGGGGGUCUCGUGGUGACAAUCCUAUCGUCGGGGCUCUUCUGCGCCCCCUCGUUUCCAAUUGCAUGGAAAGUACGCUUUAAAAUCUGGAAGUUACAACCGUAUAACGCAGCUUCCUCACUUCGACUCCCACCGGGCAAAAACCUGAAUGAACCUGGACGGACAAAGGCAGAACGGAGCCGGAGUGAGCGCCACGUUUGGGAAACCGGAUUCUGGGGCAGCUAGACAUGUAUCAGGAUGCAGAAGCUGCGCAAGCCAUGGGAGGUAACUCGCCACUCUCCUCUGCGCCAGCUUUAUUACCAGCACCUUCCCUCCUGCCUCACCCGAGCGCCUGCGGGUCCCCGGGCGCUCGCCGCCAGGGGGAGACAGAGAACCGGCUGCGGAGCAUCGCAAAGCAGGAGUUGGGGUGCUGGGAGCAGAGUGUUGAGUAUUCACCCUCCUUUAACGCGCCAAGCACUGAGUUGCCACCUCGCAAGAUUAACUCAGGGAGAAACCGUUUUGGUGACUGAGAGCCUGCCCUACGUUGUAACAGUAACAAUAUACUUGGAGCCACCUGCCUAGAAAAUCAGUUACAGCUGACGACGAUUGAGGCUUCCCGCUGCCAGAUUUCCUUCCUGUGUUCCAUUCUUGGUUUCCUUUCUUAUCUCCCCGCCCACCACUUGUCACCCCUUAAGUCCAGAGGUUCUCUGUUUCGCUUUUCCUUUUCCUAUCAAAGAUUAAACUGUAGUUUAUUAUUAUUUGGAAAUGUCCAGACAUUUCUAUUAUGCUGCCCAAAAUUAGUUUUGGAGGAAGAGACCCAAGUAUAUUUUUUAAGCCAACCAUGUUCUUACAGAAAACUACUGAAGAAAUAAAAGUUGAGAACUUUAAAAUAAUACUCCACCCAUAGCACCAGUAAAAGUGGUCUUAAUUUUUUCACUUUAUUGAGCUAUAAUUGGUAUAUAAGUAACUGCACAUAUUUAAUCAUUUGAUAAAUUUUGAUGCAUAUAUGUGGGGGGAGCCAUCCCCACAAAGUAAUGACCCAUUCCAUCACCCUGAACGUUUUCUCAUGUCUUUUAUAGCCCCUCCUUUCACCACCAGAAACAACCCUCCAGACAACCACUGAUCUUUAUACCAACUGUAGAUAAGUUUACAUUUUCUAUAAAUAUACAUGUGUGUGUGUGUAUGUUGUAUGGAAUCAUUCAUGUACUAUUUUUGUGUGUUUUUUCCACUGAGCAAAAUUCUUUUGAGAUUCA
Camelus dromedarius (Arabian camel) is the source of this 1384-nucleotide long non-coding RNA. RefSeq lists it as uncharacterized. The transcript is spliced from 2 exons. The record is from RefSeq and is a predicted model, not a curated record. NCBI's taxonomy places the organism in Eukaryota, Metazoa, Chordata, Mammalia, Artiodactyla, Camelidae.